AAAGCGCCGGAGGAUUGGCUGGGGCGUCGGGAGAGAGGAGGCUCGAAACUACAUUUCCCAUGACGCAGUGAGAAUUUAAAACCAAAACAAUUGGACAGCACUUGUUUUGACAACUGUGCGGCACUGUGCCACGGGACCCUGGUCUUUGAAACCUUGGCGUGCGCGAGAAUUUCCCAGUGAGUUUGUUAAAAUGCAGAUUCCUCGGGUCUGCGUAGACAGACUGUGCCCCACGCUUUUCUAAGUCAGUUGUUUCUCGGGCUACCCUUUAAGAGACACUGCUGGAUGGCCUGGUGAAGAAAAUACAGAAACAGAUGGGUACAAGAACUAAGAAAACGGCUAAGAAAGUGUUUUGGUCCUGACUACUACCAUUUCGCUCUGUGAUUUGGGGCAAUUCACAUUGCCCUUUCUUCUUUGUCAAAAGACAAAAUCACAACAAACUUAGUUCAAAGAUUUUUUUUUUCUUAAGAGACGGACUCUGGCAAUGUUGCCCAGGCUGGAAGGCAGUGGCUAUUCACAGGUGCGGUCAUAGCAAUCAUGGCUAUCACAGGUGCAUCCUGGAACUCCUGGCCUCAAGUGAUCCUUCUGCCUCAGCCUCCGGAGUAGCUGGGACUUAAGGUAUGACAGAGCCAAAACUCCAAGUCAUGUCAGUAGGGCAUGCCCAAUAGAAAAUGCUUUGACAUCUAACAACACCCAGAACCAAUGAUUCCUCCCUGUGGUACCAAGAAGACCUAGACAUGAUCGGAACCUAAAUGCUGGAACUCUUUCAGGAGCAAAGGGUCUGUUGACCAGAAAGAUCCAGGGGUAAAAUCCACCUCAACAUACCCGUGUAGUCAAAUUUGACACCCUCCAAUCAGACCCUGCCAAGCCAAAAUUCCUAAUACGUUUCCUUGCCAUCUGUAUUAGUCUGUUUUCACGCUGCUGACAAAGACAUACCUGAGACUGGACAAUUUACAAAAGAGGUUUAAUUGGACUUACAGUUCCACGUGGCUGGGGAAACCUCACAAUCAUGGCAGAAGGCAAGGAGGAGCAAGUCACAUCUUACAUGGAUGGCAGCAGGCAAAAACAAAGAGCUUGUACAGGGAAACUCCUGUUUCUCAAAACCAUCAGACCUCAUGAGACUUAUUCACUAUCACAAGAACAGCACAAGAAAGACCUGCCCCUAUGAUUCAAUUAUCUCCCACUGGGUCCCUCCCACAACAUGUGAGAAUUCAAGAUGAGAUUUGGGUGGGGACACAGCCAAACCAUAUCACCCUCUGACCCCUUAAAUCUUGCCCCAGACCCCAAAUUAGGAGACAGAUGUGAGCCAUGCCUCCAGUCUCCUUGCUGGGUGGCCCUGCAAUAAAGCCUUUCUGUUCUCAAAAGCUGGUACCAUAGUAUUGGCUUCUAUGUGCAUCAGGCAGUGAGCCUAUUUGCUCAGAAACAAUACUAAAGCACCAUACUUUGGGGUAUCAUUCUCUGAGCCCCAACCAGGGGUCAUUCCUGAGGCCAUGAAUGAGGGAGAGAGUUUCUGGCUGAGGAAACUUGCCCGUAAGUCUUGCACCAUCUGGCCCAUGCUGACCAUCACAGUCUCACUUUAUCUUCUUUCCAGCCACAUUGGCCUUUCAGUUCCUCAAACAUACCCGCGCUGGCUGGUUUCAGAACUUCUGCCUGGAUCACUGUCCUCUCCCCCCUCCCUCUUCCCCCUCCUGUCUCAAACCCUCCAAUGUAAACUUCAGUCUCACCUUAAAUGUCACUUCCUCUGGAGCCCUUUUCAUGGUCCCUGGUUUAAAUUUAGUCCAUACAGCAAACUGUGAUUGUCCUCCAAACCACUUCAAAGAACUGUAAUCAUUUAAUUAUCUAUUUAUAAGUAUCUGAUGUCUGGGUUCUUCACUAGACUGUAAACUUCAUGAUGGCAGGAACCAUAAUUGUUCUGGUUACUCUUGCUCUCAAGAGUGUAAGAGUGCCACAUUGUGCCUGGCACAUAGCAGGAACUUUAUGAUGAUUGUUGGUUGGAAGACAGGUUGCCUGACAGGCCAGUCAUCUCAACUACUGUACUUGGAUGUGUGGUUGGAAAUAAAAUGGAUCCGUUUAGGAGAGG
This 2077-nucleotide long non-coding RNA is filed under the name Homo sapiens (human). Its description in RNAcentral is "HSALNT0362951". The record is from RNAcentral. Lineage: Eukaryota; Metazoa; Chordata; Mammalia; Primates; Hominidae.